RNAcentral lists this ribosomal RNA (807 nucleotides) under Amanita tanzanica. RNAcentral describes it as "eukaryotic LSU rRNA". It matches the Rfam family "Eukaryotic large subunit ribosomal RNA", at positions 84 to 865 of the family's 3401-position model. Lineage: Eukaryota; Fungi; Basidiomycota; Agaricomycetes; Agaricales; Amanitaceae. The record is from RNAcentral.
UAACUGCGAGUGAAGCGGGAAAAGCUCAAAUUUAAAAUCUGGCAGUGGUUCACUGCCCGAGUUGUAAUCUAGAGAAGUGUUGCUCACACUGGACCAUGUAUAAGUCUUCUGGAAUGAAGCGUCAUAGAGGGUGAGAAUCCCGUCUUUGACAUGGACUCCCAGUGUAUUUGUAGCAUGCUCUCAAAGAGUCGAGUUGUUUGGGAAUGCAGCUCUAAAUGGGUGGUAACCUCCAUCUAAAGCUAAAUAUUGGCGAGAGACCGAUAGUGAACAAGUACCGUGAGGGAAAGAUGAAAAGAACUUUGGAAAGAGAGUUAAAAAGUACGUGAAAUUGUUGAAAGGGAAACGCUUGAAGUCAGUCACAUUGGCCAGGGAUCAACCCAAGCUUUUUUGCUUAAGUGUACUUCCUGGCUGAUGGGCCAACAUCAGCUUUGACUGUCAGAGAAGGGUAGGGGGAAUGUGGCACCCUUCUUGGGUGUGUUAUAGCCCUCUGUCAUAUAUGGCCGUUGGGGCUGAGGAAUGCAGCGCGCCACAAAGGCCGGGUUUCGACCACGUUUCGCGCUUAGGAUGUUGGCAUAAUGGCUUUAAUCGACCCGUCUUGAAACACGGACCAAGGAGUCUAACAUGCCUGCGAGUGUUUGGGUGGAAAACCCGAGUGCAUAAUGAAAGUGAAAGUUGAGAUCCCUGUCAUGGGGUGCAUCGACGCCCGGACCUGAGCUUUUCUAGCAAUGGCUCUGCGGUAUAGCAUGUAUGUUGGGACCCGAAAGAUGGUGAACUAUGCCUGAAUAGGGCGAAGCCAGAGGAAACUCU